This 503-nucleotide ribosomal RNA is filed under the name uncultured bacterium. RNAcentral describes it as "bacterial SSU rRNA". It matches the Rfam family "Bacterial small subunit ribosomal RNA", at positions 30 to 504 of the family's 1533-position model. The record is from RNAcentral.
CGAACGCUGGCGGCGUGUCUAAUACAUGCAAGUCGUACGAGAAAGCUGGGUUUUAGUUUACUAAUUUCCGGCGAGUAAAGUGGCGAACGGGUGAGUAACACGUGGGUAAUCUACCCUUGAGUUUGGGAUAAGCCCGGGAAACUGGGUCUAAUACCGGAUAAUACCCUCGGAUGGCAUCAUCUGAGGAUCAAAGGCGGGGCAACCUGUCGCUUGGGGAUGAGCCCGCGUUCCAUUAGCUUGAUGGUGAGGUAACGGCCCACCAUGGCUACGAUGGAUAGCCGGCCUGAGAGGGUGGACGGCCACACUGGGACUGAGAUACGGCCCAGACUCCUACGGGAGGCAGCAGUAGGGAAUAUUGCGCAAUGGACGAAAGUCUGACGCAGCGACGCCGCGUGGGUGAUGAAGCUUUUUGGAGUGUAAAACCCUGUCAGUGGGGAAGAACCGCAUACGGAGUAACUGCCGUAUGCCUGACGGUACCCGCAGAGGAAGCUCCGGCUAACUCC